AUGAAGCCAUCGACGGGUCUUAUGAACGAGGCGUCGUCAAGCUCAGAUGAUGAAACAUCUGACGAUGACGAGAGCGAAUCGGGUGAUCAGAAUGAGGACCAAAAGGAUGCAAGACAAGAGCGACCGACGAAAAGUGAGAGCAUCAUCCAUGAAGCCUACACCGUGAUUUGCAGAAAGAGAAGCAACUUUCUCAAACUGAUAAAUAUAGUUACACGCGGGGAGCAGUUUACAAUGAAUCCUAAUAUUCCGGAGGAGCGCCAACGCGACAGAGCGCAUCACAAUGUGCGAUAUCCUCAGCUUUAUUUGCCCACGACGUGGCAGCGGCCGAACCACGCUCCGCCUUUCACCCUUGUGAACUCCGACGAUAUCGCCGGCGCAAACUCUCUCGCCCAUGCUGGUGAAGGAGAUGUUUGUCUCUUGUUUGUCCUAGGCCUUGCAAGGCACACUGCCAAACCAUUGCUAUAUCGGAGAAGAAGAUCGGAAGCACAAAAAGUAAAAGGAAAAAAAAUGAUGGUUCGCUGGAAUAGGCUGCGAGGCCCAAGCGGCCAAGGAGUGCAGCGGCCCGUUAUCCUUCCACCGUUGGAAGCGGGCAGUUGUCGCUGCUCUGUGAAGCCAGCCUCACGCUGUGCCUGCCACAUUAUGGAUCGUGAGGCCCAGCUUUCGCAUAGGCCCCAAGCGGUCCACUACUCAACUUGGAACGGGCGGGCCAGCAGUAGCACACCCAAACCAGGCCCGCAACUCUACAACAGCAUCCACAUCACCUUAAUGCCCCCACUCGGGUUACAAGCUCUCGCAACAACCGACCCAUUUUGCAUCACUGACCUCAUCGCCAAGUUGAGGAUGAAGCCACCGAGGAGUCAUAUGAACCAUGCAUCGUCAAGUUCAGAUGAUGAAGCAUCCGACAACAAGAGCGAGACGGAUGGAAGCUGCGACGCAGUUCUGAGGAGGAGCGCUGAAGCGACGGAGUGGAUCACGAUGUGGGCUAUCCUCAGCUUUAUUUGCCCACGACACGGCAGCAGCCGAACCUCGCUCCGCCUUUCGCCAUUUCAACUUCUUUUAAUAGACAAUCUGAUUGGUUGGGCCCACAUGUUAGGACCUAAGCAGGAAAAAGGUGGCAUGUGCGCAUCUCCGAUGUGGCCUACCAUUUCUCCGAGCGUCCUUGAUGGCGAGGUUCCUAGUGUCGCAAGGCCGCGCCCGCAUGUCACUGUCGUUGGUGGUGGAGUUCCAAAUGAUCUCGACGUCGUAAUCACGCCCGUCCGGACUAUGGCAUGGUCGGGCGGGGCGCGCGAACUAGACAGAGAGGUCAUGGGGAGGACGAGCGCGUCUCUACGGCGGUGGAGCACAAGGGAGAAGCCUUGUCUAUGCACGACGUGGUAUAGUGCAUGUGCUAGCUGCGGCUGUCCAGACAACAACAUGGUUGGGCGGAGUGCGCCGGACGAAGAAGGUGGCACUUUUCUGCUAAUCAUCUGCAUCCAUGAAUCAAGAACAACAGUCUGCAUUAAUCAAGACGGGCUGAAAGGCAUGCAUCAGCAGCAGCAGCAGUCUGCAUCUGGACUUUGUGUAGUCAAGGAAAAAAGCCAGCAAACAGACAGGUGCAUGCCACAGACACGGAGUAUACAAGGACAGCAGUCCGCCGGCUGCAUCCUGCAUAUUUUAGCUUAA
This 1662-nucleotide ribosomal RNA is filed under the name Triticum aestivum (bread wheat). RNAcentral describes it as "partial small subunit ribosomal RNA". Lineage: Eukaryota; Viridiplantae; Streptophyta; Magnoliopsida; Poales; Poaceae. The record is from RNAcentral.